Felis catus (domestic cat) is the source of this 85-nucleotide non-coding RNA. The record is from Rfam. NCBI's taxonomy places the organism in Eukaryota, Metazoa, Chordata, Mammalia, Carnivora, Felidae.
GCCUGGGUGGCUCAGUCGGUUGAGCGUCCGACUUCAGCCCAGGUCACGAUCUCGCGGUCCGUGAGUUCGAGCCCCACAUCAGGCU